GAGAUGGAGCUCUGCAUAUGCAGGCUUUGAUGCUGUUGUUCUCAACAGGGUCAGGCCUGGUGAUUAUGUGAUGUCCUUCUUUGGUGUGUUUGACCCAGUGUUGUUUGGAGUCUGAGGAGGUUUGGCCUUAAAAAAUCAAACUACCAUGGAAACUGCUUUACCCAAAAUUUUGUUUCCCAGCCUUCACAAGAUUGCCUACUGGGGAGAGUUUAGUUAUGUGAACAUAUUCAUAAACUGGACGCAAUUGAAGACAUUGGUUAUUCUACCAAGGCUUUGACUGAAAUGACAUAUAUUUUGACACACAGGAGGUUAUUUCUGAGAGAAAGCCAGCCUGGUGGACUAGAUGAAAGUCACUGUAAGAUCUGUUGAUCCUGAGAAGAGGAAUUGCACAACUCCACCUGUCAAUGCCAAGUGGAGCACCCAGACGACGCAGCUGAUAGACUUCCUAUGCAAGCCAUGGGGGAUUAGCCUGAUGACAGGAAUAUUAACCUUACUUUUUGACUUUUGGGUUUCGGCUAUUAAGUUGUUUAAAAGGGUUUUAAGAAUUAAUGGGUGCCUACCCACCUUCAUUCCUGUCUGGCCUAACAUGUUUACUUGGAUAUAAGUCUUUUCACUCUAAGUCUCUUGGCCAUAGGUAGUCUCAUUGAGAGACAAGUUGGACUCAGGCCAAUAGCCACAGCAACUUGGCAAUAAUAUGGUACAAAAUAAAAGCUUUGCCAUGA
RNAcentral lists this long non-coding RNA (722 nucleotides) under Homo sapiens (human). RNAcentral's name for it is "HSALNT0379825". Lineage: Eukaryota; Metazoa; Chordata; Mammalia; Primates; Hominidae. The record is from RNAcentral.